CCGACGAUCAGUAGCCGGCCUGAGAGGGUGGACGGCCACAUUGGGACUGAGACACGGCCCAAACUCCUACGGGAGGCAGCAGUGGGGAAUAUUGCACAAUGGGGGAAACCCUGAUGAACAGCGACGCCGCGUGAGUGAAGAAGUAUUUCGGUAUGUAAAGCUCUAUCAGCAGGGAAGAAACUGACGGUACCUGACUAAGAAGCCCCGGCUAACUAC
RNAcentral lists this ribosomal RNA (216 nucleotides) under uncultured bacterium. Its description in RNAcentral is "partial 16S ribosomal RNA". It matches the Rfam family "Bacterial small subunit ribosomal RNA", at positions 273 to 504 of the family's 1533-position model. The record is from RNAcentral.